Lycium barbarum (goji berry) is the source of this 1598-nucleotide long non-coding RNA. RefSeq lists it as uncharacterized. NCBI's taxonomy places the organism in Eukaryota, Viridiplantae, Streptophyta, Magnoliopsida, Solanales, Solanaceae. The record is from RefSeq and is a predicted model, not a curated record. The transcript has 2 exons.
UUUUUUCUUCCAUCUCUCUUCAUUGCUGGUGAAUUUAGGAAUUUCUCAUGUAGAAGUUAUAGUUCAUUUUUGUUUUAUCGUAUCUGCUUUGAGUAAGCUUUUUCGGUGCAAUUUGCUAUUCUUAUUGCCCUCUCUGUUGGUAAUAACAAUUUUCUUGGUAUGUGUAAUUUUAUCCUUUUGAUUUUGGGAUUUAUUUUUGAUGAUUUCUGUUCGAAUGGUUUAAUAUGAUCUCUUUUCUAAUUGUUCUUUGAUUAGUAUGUUUGUUAUAACUCUAUGGAGUGGACUUUCUUAGUCUGGAGCAAUACAAUACUUCUUUUCCCCACAAAGUAAUAAAUUUUGUUUGCAAAUCCUAUCCACUUAAGAUUUGUCUAUAAUUAGAUGCUUCUUUCCUCUUCGUUGCACGACAAUUAUUUGAUGUCAUCUGUCCAUUGAAUUAAAAUUUUGAAUCACGUAGUAGCUAUAGGUUACUUCCUUCUUCCAUCAUUUCCUGCAUAUAUCAUCUGGACCUUGGGUAGGAAAGGUGUUUGAUGAUAUGUUUGACUUAUUUUAUUUGAAGUAACAAAGUCCACAAACUUUGUUUUAAUCUUGGUGUUAGGGGAUUUGUGCAUUUUGUUUCCCGCUUGCUGGCGGGAUGCUCAGGUUAACAUUUUGAUAUUGGGUGCAACAUUUAAUCCAUAAAAUUCGGUCAACAUAUUUUUCAGAAUAGGAAGGUAGGAUUUCUCUGAUUAGUGUUUAUUUUCUCUAACCAAGCAUAGUUUGACACAUUGGGCGUAUGCAACUAGAUGAUAUUAAUCUCCUUGGAGAGGAGACAACGGAGAAGAAGGCAGUGGAAGCGAUGGAGGCUGGUAAGAUAUCUACCAAGAAGAAAGAGAGUGAGCUUUGAUAUUUCCUUCUCAGUUGAUUUUGUGUUCCAUUCAUAAUUACUAUGGAAAGAAAAUGCAGAACAUCUUCAAACUUGAAUGUGGAAAAUAUGUUCAUUUGCUCAAGUAAAUCAUCAAUAAGCUUCCUCGUGGUGUUGUUACUUUUGAAGGUGAAAAUUCAUCAAUUUCUUUGGACGUUAAGCCUUGGGAUGACUAAAUCAUAUGAAGAAGCACGAGGAGGUUGUUUGCAAUGUUCAGAUGGAAGGGCUUUUCUGGGGAGCAUGCAUGACUUAUUAUAUCCAUUCAACUCUUUAACCAUGCCCUAACCAUUAUAUAUAUGAGUUUGGUUAUUGACAAGCUGUUUCUGCAUCUCUUUGACAGCCAAAUUAGUUCUAAUCGGCAACGGGAUUAAGAAAUUGCAAAUCAUGCUUACCAUCGUGGAUGACCUGAAAUUUGGGCUGCGUAGAGCCCCAUGUUGUUGGUAAGGAAUCUUGCAGCAGACCGUUUCUCAAUAGAGAUGAUGUUCUUGAAGAAUUUUGCAGCUGAUCUAUAUCUCUAUACAUGGAUGGAGGUGAUGUUUUGUAUUACUCCAUGAUCUUCCACCAAAUGGGAAUUGCCUUUACGUUUGGAAAGAGGAAUUGGUUCAUUUUUUAACUUUUAUGUAAUUUGUAUUGUUUGCAUCUGGAAUCAGAACUCAAAUAUUUUGUUGAUAAUUUUUGUUGGUUUUUGCACUAGAAA